UUUUAGAGCAGGAGUGAGAGUUUAUUAAAAAGUUUUAGAGCAGGAACAAAAGGAAGUACACUACACUUGGGUCAGGCAGGCAACUUGAGAGAUCUAAGUGCCCUGCCUGACCCUUAACUUGGGGUUUUAUGUAUUUGGCAUAGUUCUGGGAUUUACGUCUCAUCUCCCCUGAUUCUUCCCUUGCAGCAGGCUGUCCGCGUAUGUGGUGACCUGCCAGCACUUGGAAGGGGUCGCAUGCACAGUGUGAUUACUGAAGUUGCGCGCAUGCUCACUUGAGGCAUUUUUCCCCUUACCAGUCGUGCGUUCCCAGAGGAAGGUAGGUCAUAUACUGGUUAAAUUCCGCCAUUUUGCCUCUUGGUGCGCAUGCUCCAGGCUGCUUGCCCAGCUCCUGAGAUCUUAUCGGGAAGCGGCUGAUCACCAGAUCAGGGUGUUUUGUAUCUAUUGAGAGACUGUCCUUGCUUGGAGCUGGCUGCAACCAAUUAUUAUUUUACAGAGACAGUUUAACAACCACCUGACCAUCACCUGAUGGUAGCCUGACAUUCCUGUGGGGGCCCUCACCUGUCCUGCUCAUGUUUGCCUAGCUCCCUACUCUAACAUUUCCACUCUGUGGACCCCAGGUUGAGAUCUUCUGCAGGGAAGACUGUCCUCAAAUAGCCUGCUGGGGAGACAUCUCCUUCCCGUUUACCUUUCCAUUUGCCCUUGCGGUGUUAGGCAAAGGCUGAAGCUGGCCUCUGUGGCAGAGGGUUUCUUCCCAACACGCCAAUGACGCUGGUGGAGAGUCUUAAAAACAGCUGUGCUGGGGAGAGUUCUUGGUGUGUACCUUUCAGAGACCUCCUCCUUAAGACUCUCAAAGACUGAGUCAGGCCAGUGGGAGCCUGGCAGCAAUUCUUAGGGGACAGUGACAGCUUUUUGAGGAGGACUAAUUGGCUUCUAGGGCUGGAGGCCACUUGGGUCUGACAGACUGCCCUGCUGCCAUCCCUCCAGGGCACCCCCCACUCCCUUGCCUCAGGGCCUUCCUGCACUUCUUCCUUUUGUCCUCAAUGUUCUUCACCCCACCUUUUCCACUGGUACCCUCUGCCUAUGGUCAAGGCUUUGGUGAGACCCACUUUCCUCUUAGACCUUCCUGGAUCCCCCAAAGUCUGUGUUGGAAGCCCCUCCCAUGUGCCCUUGUUUGAGCUUUUAAUUUUCCACCAUGACGCUUGUCACACUGCUUUGUAAUUGGCUCUCUGUUAGUCUGCAUCUCUACUGGGUUGUACCUUCCAGGAGGACAGCUGCCAUGUGACUCUUGUAAUCUUCCCACCGCCAACACCCAGCACAGCGUCAGGAACACAGAGCAUGAUGAGCACAAGCUUGUUGAGCAAACAGACAAAUAACUGGAUGCUUCUGUGCAGAGUUUCUCAACCUGGCCAUUAUUGGCAUUUGGGACUUGAUCAUGCUUGGUCGUGGGAGACGGUUCUGUGCCUGUAGGAUGUUUAGGAGCAUGCUUGGUUUCUACCCACCAGAUGCCGGGAGCACACCCACCCAGCUGUGACAACCAAAAAUGUCUCCAGACACCAUUCCAAAACCAGCGGGAGACAAAAUCGCCCGACAGUCGUUGCUUUAGUGAGUGAAUGUUGACCUAAGCGUCACUUCGCCUGUCUUGAGUCUAGGUCGGGGAGUGGGUUCAGUUAGCCAAUCAGAGAACGCUGAUGGGGCGACCAGUAUAUGCUCAUGAAAUGGGUGGCUGACCUCUUGGGGUCAGAAGAGGGAAAAGUUUUACUGUGUGUUGGCUAAGGACCAUUUUAAGUCCUUCAGUGACCGAUUACCACAUGAGAACACAAGAGGGCGCUCUAACUAAUGAGUUCCGCGGCCGAGAAAACUCCUGGAGUGGGUGCUCCUGGGAUGCUUCAGGUUUAGACACCGGGGUUACGGCAGCUGCCGAGGAAGGCUAAAGCCAGCGUCCUGGAUUCAGACAGACCUUUUAGCCAUUAAAUCCACUAAGAAAGAUCCCUGCGCAUGAAGUUUCCUCCUCGGAAAUAUAGGCAGAAGGGAAAGUAAUUUUAAACUCAAAACAAAAAAUUCAGUCGUGCUGCAUAAGUAAGGCACCAGGAGUAGGAAUAGGGUCUUUGCAGCUCCCGUGGCAAUUGCCCUUCUCUGGUGGUGGCAAGGGACUAAGGAACUCCCUGGACACAGGGGAUCUGGCUGUCCCCAGAUCAUCAACAGAGACAUGAAGGUCGUUAGAGGUCGUCUGAUCCUUUGACCUCAAUCUGAGCCCACCACUCAGAAAACCUGGAAAUUGUAUGACAUUUUCGUGAUACAACUCGGUGUGUGUGUGUUGGGGAAAGGAACCAACAGCUUUCAUCAUAUUGUCAAAAGAGUCUAGGCUGGGCAUGGUGGCUCACGCCUGCAAUCCCAACCCAAAGGCCUGUGGAGCACACAUGAGGACAAGGCGGGCAGAUCACCAAAGGUCAGGCAUUCGAGAUCAGCCUGGCCAACGUGGUGAAACCCCAUCUCUACUAAAAAUACAAAAAUUAGCCAGGCGUGGUGACAUGUGCCUGUAAUCCCAGCUACUCGGGAGGCUGAGACAGGAGAACUGCUUGAACCCAGGAGGCGGAGGUUGCAGUGAGCAGAGGUUGCGCCGCUGCAGUCCAGCCCGGGCAACAAGAGCGAAUCUCCGUCUCAAAACAACAAAACAAAAACAUAGACCUGCUCGGUUCUCUCUGUGACUUCAGAGGCCCAAGGAGUCCUCAGCACUAUAGAUGCAUGUGGCCCCUCAGAAGACAACAUUUCACAGAUCUGCAAAGAGCAAAGGUCAAAUUUAUUUAAUACAACAUCCACGAGGGUCCCUGCAGCUGUGUCACUGAGGCAAACAGGAAAAGUGAUUUUGGCUAGGCGUGGUUCUCAUCUGUGAAAUUCCACAGCGCAAUGACAGCAGCCUCUCUCCCACCCACUCAAGACACUGUCAGGAAUGUCUUAAGACCUCAGGAGACCACUUCUUUAGCAAGCAAUUUUGUUUUUUGUUUUUUUUGAGAUGGAUUCUCACUCUGUCACUCAGGCUGGAGUGCAGUGGCGCGAUCUCCGCUCACUACAACCUCCGUUUCCUGGGUUCAAGCGAUAAUCUCACCUCAGCCUCUUGAGUAGCUGAUACUACAGGCAUGCGCCACCACGCCCGGCUAAUUCUUGUAUUUUUAGUAGAGACAGGGUUUCAUCAGGCUGGUCUCAAACUCCUGACCUCAGGUGAUCCGCCCACCUCAGCCUCCUGAAGUGCUGGGAUUACAGGCGUGAGCCACCUUGCCUGCCCUGGCAAGGAAUACAUUUUUAAAAAUUAGUAAGAAACAUACACAUUUCAAGUUUUCAAUUAAGAAUAAUAUUUGCUGAUGGCACCAUCUUCCUGUCUUUCAGCCUUCAGCAUGGUAGAGGAAAAGAGAAAGAGUGUAGACAAAAACAGUUGAAGAACAUCUGUGCUUGUUCCACCUUCAUUUUCUGUUUUGUGCGUUGCCUGAAUGAACGGUGUCUUCAGGUUGGUAUUUCACAGGCGGUGCUCCCAAGUAGUCUGGUUUUCCCAUUUGUGGAGGGCGAGGUCAUAGAGGGGACAGGGGGAGGCUGUCUGGUCAGCACUGUGUAUUUCCAAAGAACAAGGACUAGCCAAAACUACAAGCCUUUGAAGGACCAAAGGAAAAGAGAAAAAACCAGCCUCUAACCAGGCCAUGCGCUAGAAAUGAUUGAGUAUAAAAAAGAAAAUUGGUUUCUGUGUAUGAGGGUGCAUGGAAAAGGUCUUUAUCUCUGCACAAAACAAAAUAUUCAAGUUUCAGAAUAUCCCAAUGGCCUUGCCCUGGAUCUCCUCUUGUGCUCUUCCAAUUUCCAAGGAUGUUCCAACUUGGUGGAAGGAGGGUAUGUGGGAAAUUCAACAGCCCCUCUGUAUCUCUUUCUACCCAACAUUAACUUAGCAGGAUGGAUUUAAGAACCGGCAGCUUAGCCUGAGGAAUUGCUGUGUUCUGUGGGAGCAGGGCAGGUUCAUAAAUAAGUGCACAGAGGUCUUGAAAUACAGGGAUUAUCUGUUCUUCUCGGAACAUGGAUGUCCUUCCAGGGAUGUGCAUCUGGCCUUGCUGUCUAAGUUCCAUCAAGGGAGCCUUCCGUUCUCUGUAGCGACAAGAAACAAGGCAAGUUAUGAUCACACCUCUCAAGAUUGAAGAUUGCCCUGGUGGAGAGAAAUGCAAAAUGACAGCACUUCUCAAAGAAAAUGCAAAGCAGGGCUGUCACACACUGGUCCCCCACCCUGCAGGGUUCUCUCUGUGACUUCAGAGGCCCAAGGAGUCCUCAGCACUACAGAUACACGUGGCCCCUCAGAAGACAACAUUUCACAGAUCUGCAAAGAAUAAAGGUCAAAUUUACUUAAUACAACACCCACCAGGGUUCCUGCAGCUGUGUCACUGAGGCAAACAGGGAAAGUAAUUUUGGUUAGGUGUGGUUCUCACCUCUGAAAUUCCACAGCACAAUGACUGCAGCCUCUCUCCCACCCACUCAAGACAUUGUCAGGAACGUCUUAAGACCUCAGGAGACCACUUCUUUAGCAAGCAAUUUUUUUUAGAUGGAUUCUCACUCUGUCACUCAGGCUGGAGUGCAGUGGCGCGGUCUCUGCUCACUACACCCUCCCUCUCCUGGCUCCUGCCCGUAUGUAUUUCUCCUUCUCUCCAUGCCUGCUCUGUAGGGACCAUAGCCUCUGUCCCUGCAUACAUGUUGGACAUCAAUCACAUCAGUCCACCAAGUAACUUCAUCAAGCACCCAUGUACGCCCAGCACAGCGUCCCAAGGGUGCCCCACUUACCCACAGAAGAAGAAAGGCAACUUUGUAAGAGAUCUGACUUCUAGCUCCAGUUCUGUCUCUAGCUAACGUGAGAUGUACCCGUUUGAGGCCUGUUUUUUAAUUUUGAAAAUGAAGGACUGAACUUAGAUGGUCCAACUGAAAUGUUUUAAAAUGAUAUGAUUCUACCUUAAAAAGAGAAUGAAAUUCUGAUAUAUUUUCAACACAGGAAAACCUUGAAAACGUUAUGCUAAAUGAAAUAAGGCAGACAUGAAAGGACAAAUAUAUGAUUCCACUUAUGUGAUGUACCUCAAAUAGUCAAAUUCAUAGAGACAGAAAGUAGACAGUGGUUGCUAGGGGUUGCUGGAGGGGCAAUGGGGAGUUAGUGUUUAAUGGGUACAGUGUUUCAGUGGCUGCUCUGCCUAUGGAGUAGCCAUUCUUUUGUUUCUUUACUUCUCUAAUAAACUUGCUUUCACUUAAAAAGAAAAAGCUCUGGAGAUGGAUAGUGGUGGUGGUUGCACAGCAAUGUGAACGGACCUAAUGCAACUGAAUUAUACACUUUAAAAUGGUUAAGUAUACACUGGAAAAUGGUGAAUUUGCCGGGCGGGCGCAGUGGCUCACGCCUGUAAUCCCAACACUUUGGGAGGCCGAGGCGGGUG
This 5438-nucleotide long non-coding RNA is filed under the name Homo sapiens (human). RNAcentral's name for it is "HSALNT0243820". Lineage: Eukaryota; Metazoa; Chordata; Mammalia; Primates; Hominidae. The record is from RNAcentral.